ACGAACGCUGUUGUCCUCACACGGAGUCCUGGAUCGGCACCGAGUAUGCGAGAGUACCGUUUGUUCAAUAUCUGUAAUAGCUUGUUCCAGUUCUAACCACAUUUUCUUUUUCUAGAGGCCCAUUUAAGGAUGCGGAUUAAAACAGCAUACAGGCUGGUAUCUGGGAAGGAAAGGCCUCCCCAUCCUUUGGGAGUAAUAAUAGUUUAUAUUUGAGUCUGGGGUUUUUGCCUGCCCAGAUAAAUAUUGUAAUCAUGGACUUCAAACUAGAACAAGAAAGACAUUGGUAAUAGCAUGGGUAAUACUUGUAUUCAGUACAUAACUUUGGGCAUUAGCAUCCUUUUUAUUGCCUGUGUCCUGUCAUACCAUGAUCGUUUCAGCUUCCCCAAUGUUCGAUUAUCUGUUGUCAUGCACAAAAUAAAGGAGUAUAAUUUUCUUGGUUAAAUUGCUGUCAGUGCUGGUGGAGCCCGGUUACAGGAGGUGCUCCAGAUGCAAUCUUUGCUCUGGAAUUGGAUUUGCAGAAGGCUCUGGCGGGCCCAGAAAUGGUGUGGGCCCCCCACAUGCCUUGUAGUCUCUUUAUGAGACCUGCUUUUAUUUCUUCAAAAAGGUUUUAUGUGGUUUACUUUUUGACUUUUUUGAACAAAAAAAAUUUAGUGUGCACAACCUUGUGACUUACCCCUAUAGUAUAGGUCAGGGGGCACAACAAGCAAAAGUGAGAGAGAUUCUGACCCCUCAAACACAUCAUGCAUUGCAAGGCAGAGGGUACUGGCACGCUGGGUAUGUUAUACAGUGGUUACUGAAAUUCCAAGAAUAUUAAGUAGUGAAAGGCAGUAGUUACUGGUAUUUGGGAACUGGAACUUCAAUUUUUCAGUAAGAUGCAAUGGGUACUAAACAUCAGUCACACAUAUAUUUGUAUGUUGGGGACCUAUCUCUGCAUCAGGUCUGCAAAUUUGAGAACUAUCAGCAGUUUUACAAAUGACCAACUCAGUACCAGCCUCACUAUCUUUCUUGGGGUAGCUUUCUGUUUUAACAACAAUUCUUCUUCCAUGUACCAUGUGUCAAGUCAAUGGUAGGGAAGCUAAAGCUGCCCAUGCACUGGACAUAGUGCAGAAUACACAUCACACUACUGCUUUUCCUUUCUUUUUAGUUGUCAGACAAAUGAUGUGUAAGCAUUGGGCACUAGUGAUAGCUGUAUUUGAUGGCUUCAUUCCCAACAUUAUUAAAAGUAGAUUAAUGUUAUUUUUUUUGCAGUUUUGCAUUUAUUGAAACAUAGGAAAGGGAAGAAGUGUGAAGAAGUGAGCACAGGCACAGGACAAGGUUCGCUGUUUGCUAGAGAUGAUUCUUUGGAGGAUGACGACACCAUUUUGGCUGUUUUCAUGGAGCAGAGCCUUCGGCUGUGACCCAUAGAUGGUGGUAAAAACCAACACAGAGAAAAAAGACUUCCAGUGCUUUUUCUGCCGUGAGACAUGAGGACCUGAGAUGGCUCUUUACCAGAGGCAGCAAAUGGCCAAUACUGGAACCCCAAAGUCAAUGGCCUUUAUUGCAUAUUUAUUCAUACAUUACAUUCUUAGAUCAGCUGAUUAAUCUUGGUUUCUUUAUAAAUAAUACCCAUCACCUUUGUGUAUGUAAAGAAAUGACAUGAUGAAAUGAUACUUGGUCUCUGUACUGCACAGUUACAUGUAUGGUGGCAUUAUUGUGGCAUACAUGUUGCAUUUAUUACUCUCAUACCAUAUAGUGGUAAGUAGUAAAAGUACUUGGCUGUGUACUUCAGUGGUACGUUCCCUCUCUAAAGAAGAGACAACUUAAUGAGUAGUAGAAGAGACCGUUUCCAUUUACCUCAAUGGGGAGUGGCUUUAGGAUUAUGAUCAUUAUGUGAAAAUGACAUUGGUUCUGAUUGUGGAACAGCAGGCGCUUGAGGACCAAAUUCAUAUGUUAGAAGAGCAGCUGAGGUGUCUUCGCGAAAGUCUGUAGUUUGGUGACCAAACAUGAUUUCUAAAGGUGUUUUGCCAUUCUAGUAAAAUAACAAACUAACCAAAAACACAAAUGGAAAAAAAAUCAAAGACAGGCAAGUUCAUGUUGACUGAUAAUGGUUAUUAUGACAUGAAGAUGAGGAUUAUGAAGAUCUUUAUAAAAGGUUAAUAUCCAUUUUCACCUUGCAGAAAUAUUAUAAAUCCCCUUUUUUCUAUUAUCUAUAAUUCUUCUAUUAUCUAUUUAAUUGCCCAUUGACAUAUGUUUAUGAGUUUGGUGGAAUAACUAAAUUAAGACUUUUAAAUGGGGGCGCUGCAGUUUAGCCACUUUGUAAUCUGUGCCCCCCCCCCCCCAAUGAACCACCC
Molecule: long non-coding RNA, 2330 nt
Organism: Xenopus laevis (African clawed frog)
Lineage: Eukaryota; Metazoa; Chordata; Amphibia; Anura; Pipidae
Exons: 3
Source: RefSeq, a predicted model, not a curated record